AUGUGGACGUUGCACAUCGUUGCACUUCCGAACAGGACGGCCCCCCUCUCCCCGCCUGCAGUAACGUUACAUUCACCGCUGCAACUGCAUGAGGACCAUAUGGAGUGUCUACAAAGCGAUACAUUGAUAUAUAAGGGGACAAGAGCACGGAUGUGUGACCAUGCAAAGGAAGAGGACGAGGAGGGAUAAUGCCAUCGUGGAGCAGUCUGGGCCGAGAGGUGUGUUGCUGAGUCACUCAGAGAUAUGAGCUUUGAAUAUCCAAAAGGCUCCUCAACAGCUUCUAACCCCAAGCCAUAAAGACUGUCUCACAAUACAAUGUCACAGAUGUUCAUUUCUCUACCAUAAGCCGCCUCCAACGUUGUUUCAGAGAAUUUGGCAGUACAUACAACAGGCUUCACAACUGCAGACCACGUGUAACCACACCACCCCAGGACCUCCACAUUCGGCUUCUUCACCUGCGGGAUCGACUGAGGAGGGGGAGGGAGGGUGCUGAGGGGUAUUUAUGUCUGUAAUAAAGCCCUUUUGUUGGGAAAAACGAAUUCUGAUUGGCUGGGCCUGGCUCCCCAGUGGGUGGACCUGGCUUCCAAGUUGGUGGGCCUAUGCCCUCCCAGCCCCACCCAUGGCUGCGCCCCUGCACAGUCAUGUGAAAUCCAUAGAUUAGGGCCUCAUUUAUUUAUUUCAAUUGACUGAUUUCCUUCUAUGAACUGUAACUCAGUAAAAUCUUUGAAAUUGU
Salvelinus fontinalis (brook trout) is the source of this 733-nucleotide long non-coding RNA. RefSeq lists it as uncharacterized. The record is from RefSeq and is a predicted model, not a curated record. The transcript is spliced from 3 exons. Lineage: Eukaryota; Metazoa; Chordata; Actinopteri; Salmoniformes; Salmonidae.